Molecule: ribosomal RNA, 252 nt
Filed under: uncultured bacterium
Lineage: Bacteria
Description: partial 16S ribosomal RNA
Rfam family: Bacterial small subunit ribosomal RNA
Source: RNAcentral
UACGUAGGGGGCAAGCGUUGUCCGGAAUUAUUGGGCGUAAAGCGCGCGCAGGCGGUUUUGUAAGUUUGGUGUCUAAGACUGGGGCUCAACCCUGGAACGCACCGAAAACUGCAAGACUUGAGUGCAGGAGAGGAAAGUGGAAUUCCACGUGUAGCGGUGAAAUGCGUAGAGAUGUGGAGGAACACCAGUGGCGAAGGCGACUUUCUGGACUGUAACUGACGCUGAGGCGCGAAAGCGUGGGGAGCAAACAGG